Vigna angularis (adzuki bean) is the source of this 2629-nucleotide long non-coding RNA. RefSeq lists it as uncharacterized. NCBI's taxonomy places the organism in Eukaryota, Viridiplantae, Streptophyta, Magnoliopsida, Fabales, Fabaceae. The transcript is spliced from 8 exons. The record is from RefSeq and is a predicted model, not a curated record.
GGCUGGUUUGGUAGAACAGAGGUGUGUUUACUCAAAUCUCUCUCAAGCCCUAACUCUACACUCUUAGAUCUCUCUGCAACCCUAACUUUAACUCUCCACUCUCCUUCUCUAUUUUCACUUUCAUAUACAGAACCACUUCCGAAUCUUAUGGUUUCAUCAUCCUCUUCACUUUCCCUUCAUUUUUAACCGAUUAAAACCACUUUUCUACUGAUUAAAACCCUUUCUGCCAUUUGUUCUUCGAUUUCCACCGAUUAAACCUCCAUUUGCGCCGGUUAAACACUUUUGUACCGAUCAAUCUUGUGUUUGAACCGAUUAAUCGGUUCAUUUUAUGUUUCUCCCCAUUUUUAGGGUUCCUUCGGUCCAGAUUAGGGUUCUUUCUCCAUUUUGGAGCUUUCCCGCAAUCGUUCUGGCUUCUAUUCAUUCGUUUAGGGUUUUUUAACAUUUUCUUCCAAUCAUUCUCCGUUUCGCUCUCGAUCUCGAGUUCGUCUCAUUAUUUCGCUGCGUUUUCUCAUCAAGGAAGCUUCGAAGGAGUUCGAGUCGAGUCCGCAUCGGUCUUUUGGUCAUCUCCUUUGAGGCUCUUUCGUCAAGUGGCCGCAAAAUCAAUCACACCCGACGACGUUUCAGCGCUCCUUCGAGCCUGCUACUCUUUUGAAACCCAAAGAAGAGGUUGGAUUGAAGACUGAAGGUGCUGUAGGGAUUGUUUUGAACCAAAAGCAGGAAGUGGUGACAAAAUCUGCUGUGGAGAUUCUAAACGAUCAACAUAGAAAUUCGGCUCCUGUUGCACGCUUGGCAAUGACGCGUAGGGUGCGUCCUCUCGUUUCAUGAAAGUGGGGUUGAUCAAUUAGUAGAGAUAAUCAAGGUGUGGAGGCUAUAGUAAAAAGGAACCUGGUGAAGUACUGACACUUCAGAAGCGAGUGUUAGCAGUGCUAAAUGAGGCAAGGAAUAAUUUGGAUGGUAAGAUUUUUAAGAAAGGGGAUUAUGCGAUAGCAGCAACGAGGGCGGUUUAUUAUGUUAACCUUGUCAAUCACAGUAGUGCCUCAAAGUGAAACAAGGGCCAAGCUGAGAAAUAAUUUAAAGUAGAAGUACAAGCUAUUGGUCGAGUGCGACACAAAAAUCUUGUGCUUGCAUUAAAGGAUUUGCAUUCCCUGCAUGGGUUGAAAUAGACACGUGGAAAGCUUGGUCUUGGUGCAAAGAUGGUAUUGAUUGAGGAGAAAUAGGUCCAGGGACUAAAUAGGAAGUUGAAGUACGGGCUUGCUUUGUACAUGUGGUGGAGAAAAUGCAAGAGCUAAUAAGUAAAAGUCAGGAAGACAGGUUAUUAAGGAAACAAUUGAUUCCAAUAUUACAAUAGAAUACAAGUCAAACACAGUUGAUGAUUUACAUAUGAGGAAGCCAGAUAUUAGCAAAGCGAAGGAACUGCUGAUUUAGCAACACAAAAUCCCACUUAAUGAUGAAAUUGGAUUCUGAAUAAAGAUGAAGACUAUUUCCAAUGAGGAGCAUUGGUGUCUUAAAGAUAUUAUCGUUUUCAUGAUGUUACAAGGUGAAGAACUUAAAGACUUUGUUGAUGUAAACACUUAGAAAUUUUCUUGUGUUUAGAAAGUUUGCGCCAAUAAUCAAUUAUUUGGUGUAUAAUCGAUUAUCACGAGCAUAUUUGAAAAAGAUAUGCUCAUGCAAAUAAUCGAUUAUCUUUGUCUGAUUCAGUAUUGCCCAGGUCGCGCAAAUAAUCGAUUGUUCCUCAAGAUAAUCGAUUAUCUCUUUUUGAAAACCCCAUAACAGACACAAAUAAUCGAUUAUCAUAAUAAAUUAUAUUUGGCAGUUGGGAGUUGUCUUUUCAUUUUCAGAGCCUUGGCUUAUAAAUAUAAGUCUUUACAACUCUUAGAAAGUAUAUUUUCAAUUUGAGAGUAUUAGAGUUGUCUGCCUAAGGGAAGCUCUUUGAGAGUGAAAAAGAAUCUAAGCCACUUGAAAAUACAGAAACCCUCUGAGGAAGUUUUCAAGUGUUAGAGGUACUCAAAUCAAGUCUUGUGAAAAGGAGAAACUUGCGCUUAAUGGAUCUAAGGUCGAAGCGUUCCUCUUCAAGUUCAUUGAGCAGAUUCUUUAGUUCAUUAAUCCAAGGAAGGUGGUUUUUGUUCUUAUUUUUUAUUCCAUUCUAUUGUAAUCUAUGAAUAAUAUUUUAUUGAAGCUACAUGUGGUAUGGUUAUGAGCCUGUAUGGGGAAGCUACAUGUGGUAUGGUGAAGCUACAGGUGGUAUGAUUGAGUACAAGAGACAGACCAAUGUCCUUCAUGAUGAUGUUGGGAAUUUGUAGUGACUUUGUGUUUAAAGACGAUGUUGAUAAGGAUACCGUUGAUGGUAUAGUAAUGAUAUAAUUAAUGAGAAUGUUGGUGAUGAUCAUGUUGUAGAAAUGAUUUUGUUAGUAGGAUAGAGUUGUAGACAAUUAAUUGUUAUUAAGUUGAGUUGUUUCUUAUGUACAAAUUUUAUUGUUAUUGGUUAUGUUAUGGUAGCUUAUCCAUAUUUGUUUGUUCUUGUGGUUAUGUGUGUGUUUUGUGAUGAUUGUAGGACCUUUGAUUAUACGAGAGCAUGAGAUGUAUCAGAUGCUUGAUAAAUAUGCUAGAAUGAGGAGCAGCUUUGGGUUUA